RNAcentral lists this ribosomal RNA (624 nucleotides) under uncultured bacterium. Its description in RNAcentral is "bacterial SSU rRNA". It matches the Rfam family "Bacterial small subunit ribosomal RNA", at positions 60 to 685 of the family's 1533-position model. The record is from RNAcentral.
AGUCGAGCGAAGCGAUCGAGAUGAAGUUUUCGGAUGGAUUCCUGAUUGACUGAGCGGCGGACGGGUGAGUAACGCGUGGGUAACCUGCCUCAUACAGGGGGAUAACAGUUAGAAAUGACUGCUAAUACCGCAUAAGCGCACAGUACCACAUGGUACGGUGUGAAAAACUCCGGUGGUAUGAGAUGGACCCGCGUCUGAUUAGCUAGUUGGUGGGGUAACGGCCCACCAAGGCGACGAUCAGUAGCCGACCUGAGAGGGUGAUCGGCCACAUUGGGACUGAGACACGGCCCAAACUCCUACGGGAGGCAGCAGUGGGGAAUAUUGCACAAUGGGGGAAACCCUGAUGCAGCAACGCCGCGUGAGUGAAGAAGUAUUUCGGUAUGUAAAGCUCUAUCAGCAGGGAAGAAAAUGACGGUACCUGACUAAGAAGCCCCGGCUAACUACGUGCCAGCAGCCGCGGUAAUACGUAGGGGGCAAGCGUUAUCCGGAUCUACUGGGUGUAAAGGGAGCGUAGACGGCAGCGCAAGUCUGAAGUGAAAGCCCGGGGCUCAACCCCGGAAUGGCUUUGGAAACUGUGCAGCUAGAGUACCGGAGGGUAAGCGGAAUUCCUAGUGUAGCGGUGAA